GGGGUCUUCCGGCCAAGAAAUUCCAUUCGAGACACAAUUUAUGGUGGUGGAAGCACGUGACGGCUCUAACAUUGCCGGAAAUGGAGAGGAGGGUGCCGCCGUGUAUACUGUUUUUCUUCCUAUUCUUGAAGGCGAUUUCAGAGCUGUUCUUCAGGGAAAUGAAAAUAAUGAGCUGGAAAUCUGCUUAGAAAGUGGAGAUCCUGGUGUAAAUGGGUUUGAGGGUAGCCAUUUGGUGUUUGUGGGUGCUGGAUCAGAUCCCUUUGAAACCAUUACAUAUGCAGUCAAGUCUGUUGAGAAGCAUUUGCAGACUUUUGCUCAUCGUGAGAGGAAGAAGAUGCCUGAUAUUUUGAACUGGUUCGGCUGGUGUACUUGGGAUGCUUUCUAUACUGAUGUCAAUUCGGAUGGCGUAAAGCAGGGGCUUGAGAGCUUUGAGAGUGGGGGAAUUUCUCCCAAGUUUGUCAUUAUCGAUGAUGGAUGGCAAUCAGUUGCCAAGGAUUCUACUAGUGCCGAUUGCAAAGCUGAUAACACCGCAAACUUCGCGAACAGGUUAACACACAUAAAAGAGAACUACAAAUUUCAGAAAGAUGGCAAAGAGGGUGAAAGAAUCGAGAACCCUGCGCUUGGUCUUCAGCAUAUUGUGUCCUACAUGAAAGAGAAGCACGCAACAAAAUAUGUCUAUGUUUGGCAUGCCAUAACAGGCUACUGGGGUGGUGUGAGUUCUGGAGUUAAAGAGAUGGAACAAUAUGAGUCUAAGAUUGCAUACCCUGUCGCAUCUCCUGGAGUCGAAUCAAACGAGCCAUGUGAUGCUUUGAAUAGCAUUACAAAAACUGGACUUGGCCUUGU
This 843-nucleotide unclassified non-coding RNA is filed under the name Hevea brasiliensis (rubber tree). The record is from RNAcentral. Lineage: Eukaryota; Viridiplantae; Streptophyta; Magnoliopsida; Malpighiales; Euphorbiaceae.